GACGAACCGUGCGAACGUUAUUCGGAAUCACUGGCUUAAAGCGCGUGUAGGCGGGACGGCACGUCGGUCGCUGAAAGCCCCGGCUCAACCGGGGAAGUGGCGCCGAUACGACCGCCCUGGAGGACGUAGGGGACCUGGAACUUCCGGUGGAGCGGUGAAAUGCGCAGAUAUCAGGAGGAACGACCGAUGGCGAAGGCAGGUCUCUGGGCGAUUAACUGACGCUGGAGGAGCGAAAGCAUGGGGAGCG
RNAcentral lists this ribosomal RNA (247 nucleotides) under uncultured bacterium. RNAcentral describes it as "partial 16S ribosomal RNA". It matches the Rfam family "Bacterial small subunit ribosomal RNA", at positions 524 to 770 of the family's 1533-position model. The record is from RNAcentral.